Molecule: long non-coding RNA, 1259 nt
Organism: Ictalurus punctatus (channel catfish)
Lineage: Eukaryota; Metazoa; Chordata; Actinopteri; Siluriformes; Ictaluridae
Source: Ensembl
CUUUUCCUGCCAACUUUCCAACACAUUAAUUAAUUGUUGUAGCCAAUUAAGUGGCGUCGCACAAAUGAGCUUCAGCGCAAAAGAGUCCUGCAGGGCCCUGUCGAAAAUCACACACACACACACACACACACACACAACACUAGAGUUUCCCAGAAGUCUCAUUUUCUGUUAAAGAACUUAGUGAACCUGUCAGCUUGGUCCAGUUUCAGGAAAAUGAUCAUCAGCAAAACAGAUUAUGACCUCUUGUAAUCCGACAUUCCUUAUUUUCACUGUGAUGACACCGGAGUGUGAUGUUACACCUGUCCACCACAACAGUCACGUAUGAGCAGAUCCAGAGCAACUUCCACGAUGUGCAAAGGCGGUUCCGAAAUAUAUAUAUCUGAACAUAUUAGAGCUUUGUGAUUGGAAUUCGAGACACGAGUCGACUGGAGGAUCGGAGAGAUUACAGAGAAGAACAUGCCGUGAUGGUGAUGAUGAUGAUGGUGAUGAAGUCCCGAGUGCAGGAUUAUAGAGAUGGAGCAGAGCAUUUUGACGUCUGCAUUGCGAGGAGACACGGUUCUGUUCGAUCCUCCGCCUGUUCGAGUAAAGGAGCAGAUCUGAAGGGCUCACAAGCAUCGAGUGUUGUGGUGAACUGGGAUGUUUGGAUACUGUCACCCCCCCCCCCCCCCCCCCUCCCUCCACACUUUCGUGCAUUCACCUAGGAUUGUUGAUGGUGGAGCUAGUCUUUUCGGAGUCCCUGCUUGCACUCUGCACACAAUGUACAUUGUCCUUAACCGUUACGGGGCAAUGAACAUACCUAAUAAUCUCUCUCUCUCUCUCUCUCUCGCGUGUGCGACACGAUACUCCUGAAAUAACAACGAUCCUGGCUCUCUGGGCCAGCCCGAUCCAUCCUGAUGCCCUACUUCACAUUGGAGUUCUCAUCACUUGGAAAUCACUCGCUACUGCUGAGGAUGGCCCCACAUGGUGCAGCCUAAAGGUACAUGAGAUUACUGAGGAUGGUACCACUUAGAAACCAUGAAGAUGGCUUUGGAGUGAAGCACACUGAACGAAGUGUGUUGGGUGAGACGUGUUGGAUAAAGCACGUUGGAUGAAGUGUUCAAUGAAACAUCGAUACAUGCUGGAUCAAUCAUGUUGGUUGAGGUGUGCUGGGUGAAGCAUGUCAGAUGAGACAAGCUGGAAAAAGUGUCUUGGAUGAGGCAUGGGGAAUGAAACCUGUUGGAUGACGCUUAUUGGAUGAAGCAUGGUGAAUGAAGUGGGUU